UACAGAGGGGGCAAGCGUUAUUCGGAAUUAUUGGGCGUAAAGGGCGCGUAGGCGGCUUUUCAAGUGACGGGUGAAAUCCCUCGGCUUAACCGAGGAGCUGCCUGUCAGACUGGAAGGCUUGAGACCGGGAGAGGUGAGUGGAAUUCCCAGUGUAGCGGUGAAAUGCGUAGAUAUUGGGAGGAACACCAGUGGCGAAGGCGGCUCACUGGACCGGAACUGACGCUGAGGCGCGAAAGCGUGGGGAGCGAACAGG
This 253-nucleotide ribosomal RNA is filed under the name uncultured bacterium. RNAcentral describes it as "partial 16S ribosomal RNA". It matches the Rfam family "Bacterial small subunit ribosomal RNA", at positions 524 to 776 of the family's 1533-position model. The record is from RNAcentral.